AUGGAGGUGGACUGCCUGGAGUUGGUGACACUCUGGAACACUCGUCACAAUUCCCGUUCAAUUGUGGCACCUAUCUUACAAGAAAUAUGAGAGCUAGUUCAUAAUUUUCCGUUUUUUGAUAUACAUCAUGUAAAUCGCGAGGCCAACCUACCGGCACAUCUUUGUGCAAAACGUGCUUGCACUCUGUCUGUGACCGAUAGUUGGCUCGACGAGACUCCCCAAUUUCUGGUAACCAGCCUUCUCGCUGAUUGUCCAGGAAACACAUUCAUGCAAUAA
This 276-nucleotide ribosomal RNA is filed under the name Triticum aestivum (bread wheat). RNAcentral's name for it is "partial small subunit ribosomal RNA". The record is from RNAcentral. Lineage: Eukaryota; Viridiplantae; Streptophyta; Magnoliopsida; Poales; Poaceae.